CCUAAAAGUGAAAUUCAAGUUAAAGUAUUAAUAUAUUUAAGUUCUCAAAAAUCACCCAAAUGCUAAUGAUUAUACAGUGCUAAAUGAAAAAAGCAGAAUGGUAACAUGAAGAAUCCAGACCCUAGUACUCAAGGAAAUAAAACUCUAUAGGGAUACCUCAGAGAUACUGACGGUUCAGUAAGUCAGAAUCAUUUUGCUGAUGGAUGGUCUUGCCUCCAUGUGGAUGGCUGCUGACUAAUCCACGUGGUGGCUGCCGAAGGCUGGGGGUGGCUGUGGCAAUUUCUGGGUAAUUUUAUG
Sapajus apella (tufted capuchin) is the source of this 297-nucleotide long non-coding RNA. RefSeq lists it as uncharacterized. The record is from RefSeq and is a predicted model, not a curated record. Lineage: Eukaryota; Metazoa; Chordata; Mammalia; Primates; Cebidae. The transcript is spliced from 3 exons.